This 344-nucleotide ribosomal RNA is filed under the name uncultured Desulfobulbus sp. RNAcentral's name for it is "bacterial SSU rRNA". It matches the Rfam family "Bacterial small subunit ribosomal RNA", at positions 1037 to 1382 of the family's 1533-position model. Lineage: Bacteria; Pseudomonadati; Thermodesulfobacteriota; Desulfobulbia; Desulfobulbales; Desulfobulbaceae. The record is from RNAcentral.
GGUGCUGCAUGGCUGUCGUCAGCUCGUGUCGUGAGAUGUGGGUUAAGUCCCGCAACGAGCGCAACCCUUGCCUUAGUUGCCAGCAGUUCGGCUGGGCACUCUAAAGGGACUGCCGGUGUUAAACCGGAGGAAGGUGGGGAUGACGUCAAGUCCUCAUGGCCUUUAUGACCAGGGCUACACACGUACUACAAUGGCCGAUACAAAGGGCAGCGACACUGCGAGGUGAAGCCAAUCCCGUAAAAUCGGUCUCAGUCCGGAUUGGAGUCUGCAACUCGACUCCAUGAAGCUGGAAUCGCUAGUAAUCGCGCAUCAGCCAUGGCGCGGUGAAUACGUUCCCGGGCCUU